Molecule: ribosomal RNA, 247 nt
Filed under: uncultured bacterium
Lineage: Bacteria
Description: partial 16S ribosomal RNA
Rfam family: Bacterial small subunit ribosomal RNA
Source: RNAcentral
AUACGUAGGAUCCGAGCGUUGUCCGGAAUUACUGGGUGUAAAGGGUGCGCAGGCGGAUUUGUACGUCAGAGGUUAAAUGUCACCGCUUAACGGUGAACCUGCCUUUGAUACGGCAAGUCUUGAGUGUGAGAGAGGUAAGUAGAAUUCCUGGUGUAGCGGUGAAAUGCGUAGAUAUCAGGAGGAAUACCAGUGGCGAAGGCGGCUUACUGGCUCACAACUGACGCUUAGGCACGAAAGCGCGGGGAGC